This 73-nucleotide transfer RNA is filed under the name Habropoda laboriosa. RNAcentral's name for it is "tRNA-Val". It matches the Rfam family "tRNA". From Rfam's summary of the family: Transfer RNA (tRNA) molecules are approximately 80 nucleotides in length. Their secondary structure includes four short double-helical elements and three loops (D, anti-codon, and T loops). Further hydrogen bonds mediate the characteristic L-shaped molecular structure. tRNAs have two regions of fundamental functional importance: the anti-codon, which is responsible for specific mRNA codon recognition, and the 3' end, to which the tRNAs corresponding amino acid is attached (by aminoacyl-tRNA synthetases). tRNAs cope with the degeneracy of the genetic code in two manners: having more than one tRNA (with a specific anti-codon) for a particular amino acid; and 'wobble' base-pairing, i.e. permitting non-standard base-pairing at the 3rd anti-codon position. The record is from Rfam by way of RNAcentral. Lineage: Eukaryota; Metazoa; Arthropoda; Insecta; Hymenoptera; Apidae.
GGUUCCGUGGUGUAGUGGUUAUCACGUCUGCUUUACACGCAGAAGAUCGCCGGUUCGAUUCCGGCCGGAACCA